CAAAUUAGAGCUUGUGUAUAAAGCAUUUUAGUUACAUUAAAAAGUAAAUUGUGAGAUUCAAUUUAAUUUGA
RNAcentral lists this transfer RNA (71 nucleotides) under Lochmaea sp. BMNH 848700. RNAcentral describes it as "tRNA-Val". Lineage: Eukaryota; Metazoa; Arthropoda; Insecta; Coleoptera; Chrysomelidae. The record is from RNAcentral.